GCAUAUCAAUAAGCGGAGGAAAAGAAACUAACAAGGAUUCCCCUAGUAAUGGCGAAUGAAACGGGAACAGCUCAAGCUUAAAAUCAGCAAGUGAAAUUAAAAGCAUUUGCCGAAUUGUAGCUUAUGGAGGCAGUUAUCGACCCUACAGCUUGGUAAAAGUUCCUUUGAAUAGGACAUCAAAGAGGGUGAAAAUCCCGUCAUUGACCAGGUAAGUAAAAGUAGGGAAAUGUGAACUGUUUUCUUUGAGUCGGGUUGUUUGGGAAUGCAGCCCUAAUUAGGAGGUAAAUUUCUUCUAAAGCUAAAUAUAAGCAAGAGACCGAUAGCAAACAAGUACCGUGAGGGAAAGAUGAAAAGCACUUUGAAAAGAGAGUGAAAAGUACGUGAAAUUGUUAAAAGGGAACCGGUUGGUAGUCAAGCAUCGUUUCUAGAGGGAUUUAUUCUUUUAGUUAUGAGGUCAACAUGGGUUGUUUUUGCCUGAAAGGAAAAGAUGUGUGGCAAGCGGAAGAAAGGUAGGGAGAUUUGUUGUUUUUUCAAUUUAUUGAGAGGACGUUGUAUAAUGAAUUUCUUGUUAUAGUCAUCCAUGAGCUCACUUUAAAGCCUGUUUAUGGGGUGGAAACGACCGAGGAAAGCAGUAUUUUGUAUAGGGGGAUAUUAGAGAUUAUGGUUUGGUUGGAUACUUUUAGACAGCUUGCUGACUAGGAGAGCAACAUAAAUAUAAGUUCUUUUAAUAUUUUCACUAAUUAAUACUUCGGAUGUUGGCGAAAAGGCACCAAUCGACCCGUCUUGAAACACGGACC
RNAcentral lists this ribosomal RNA (797 nucleotides) under Plecopteromyces sp. 39-2-1. Its description in RNAcentral is "eukaryotic LSU rRNA". It matches the Rfam family "Eukaryotic large subunit ribosomal RNA", at positions 38 to 667 of the family's 3401-position model. Lineage: Eukaryota; Fungi; Kickxellomycota; Harpellomycetes; Harpellales; Legeriomycetaceae. The record is from RNAcentral.